This is a long non-coding RNA of Dreissena polymorpha, 1050 nucleotides long. RefSeq lists it as uncharacterized. The record is from RefSeq and is a predicted model, not a curated record. NCBI's taxonomy places the organism in Eukaryota, Metazoa, Mollusca, Bivalvia, Myida, Dreissenidae. The transcript has 3 exons.
UCCGUCAACAAUUUGCUUGUGUAGACAGUAGAGGUCACAGUUUUCAUCCAAUCUUUAUGAAAUUUGGUCAGAAUGUUUAUCUUGAUGAAAUCUGGGUUGGGAUUGUAUUUGGGUGAUCUGGGGUCAAAAACUAGGUCACUAGGUAAAAAACUAGGUCAAAUAAUAGAAAAACCUUGUAUAGACAAUAGAGGUCGCAGUUUUCGUCCAAUCUUUAUGAAAUUUGGUCAGAAUCUUUAUCUUGAUGAAAUCUGGGUUGGGAUUGUAUUUGGGUCAUCUGGGGUCAAAAACUAGGUCACUAGAUCAAAAACUAGGUAAAAUAAUAGAAAAACCUUGUGUAGACAAUAGAGGUUGCAGUUUUUAUCCAUUGUUUAUGAAAUUUGGUCAGAUUGUUUAUCUUGAUGAUAUCUGGAUUGGGAUUGUAUUUGGGUCAUCUGAGGUCAAAAACUAGGUCAAUAGGUCAAAUAAUAUAAAAAUCAUCAACAAUUUGUUUGUGUAGACAGUAGAGGUCACAGUUUUUAUCCAAUCUUUAUGAAAUUUGGUCAGAAUGUUUAUCUUGAUAAAAACUGGGUUGGGAUUGUAUUUGGGUCAUCUGGGGUCAAAAACUAGGUCACUAGAUCAAAAACUAGGUCACUAGGUCAAAUAAUAGAAAAACCUUGUAUAGACAAUAGAGGUCACAAUUUUCAUCCAAUCUUUAUGAAAUUGGGUCUGAAUAUUUAUCUUGAUGAAAUCUGGGUAGGGAUUGUAUUUGGGUCAUCUUGGGUCAAAAACAAGGUCAUUAGGUCAAAUAAUAGAAAAACCUUGUGUAGACAAUAGAGGUCACAGUUUUCAUCCAAUCUUCAUGAAAUUUGGUCAGAAUGUUUGUCUUGAAGAAAUCUGGGUUGGGAUUGUAUUUGGGUCAUCUGGGGUCAAAAACUAGGUCACUAGGUCAAAUAAUAGAAAAACCUUGUGUAGGCAAUAGAGGUCACAGUUUUCAUCCAAUCUUUAUAAAAUUUGAUCAGAAUGUUUAUCUUGGUGAAAUCUGGGUUGGGAUUGUAUUUGGGUCACCUGGGG